Molecule: long non-coding RNA, 700 nt
Filed under: Phoenix dactylifera (date palm)
Lineage: Eukaryota; Viridiplantae; Streptophyta; Magnoliopsida; Arecales; Arecaceae
Description: long non-coding RNA (PDAC_LNC001027)
Source: RNAcentral
GAGAUUGAGAAAAAAUUGAUGAGAUAGUGCAAAUGAAGGAUUGAGAUGAUAAGAGAAUGUAUUUCUCUAGAUUGUGUUCCUUUGGAGGGAUAGAAUUGUAUAGAGAGGCGAAGAAUUGGUUUUAGGGCUAUGAUAAAAUCAUAAGAGAUUUCAAGGUUAAUGAAUUUGAGAUGGCAUGAUUUCAUUGCGUAAGAGAUAUAAAGAGAGAAUUGAAAAUGUAGAAGGUGGAGAUGUAAGAAGGGUGGGUUUGUUUAAUUAUGUUUCUUGGGAAUGCUAGUAUUAGAGUAAAGCGAAGAAUGUUAGGAUUAGGGGAGUGAUGAGGAGGUGAGCUAGAUGGAGGAAUUUGAUUGGAUCCUACCCUCCUCCAAGCAUUGGUGAUGUGGAGGUUGAUGGAUGGUUGCAAUGUUAUAGAAGAAGGGAGUGUCAACUAAUUGUAUAACUUGAUGGUAGUAUUGAUGUGAAUGCUAUUAGAUUUAGGAGUAAGAUUUAGGUUACUUGAUUUUUUGGGGAAGGAUAAGAGGACCAAACAUAGCAUACCAAUAUUAAUUAGGAAAUGCACGUCAAGGAUUUGGAAUCUAAAUCAAUAACAUUAGUUACGAAAAAAAAUCUUAGUCAUUUAGUGGAACAAGGAUUCAAUGUGACAAGAGAAGAGUAAGGAAGAAAUUAAAUUAGUUAGAAGAAAUAAUGAUGUCCAGAUCUC